RNA transcript from Prunus dulcis (almond), 3575 nucleotides. It is a transcript of the gene named ABSCISIC ACID-INSENSITIVE 5-like protein 2, with no coding region annotated. The record is from RefSeq and is a predicted model, not a curated record. The transcript is spliced from 7 exons. NCBI's taxonomy places the organism in Eukaryota, Viridiplantae, Streptophyta, Magnoliopsida, Rosales, Rosaceae.
CAGAAAAAGGAGCUAGUGUAUGUUUUUGUUUGUACGAGGUUUACCACAUCAGUUGGGUUUUUCCCUUGCGUUUCAGAGUGAGUGGGUUUUUUCGUCUUCGAAUUUUUAUUUGUUUCAUAGGAAGCAGCAAGACAUCCGUGGGUUCCUGAUGUAACUCCCAAAUGAGCAAAAAGGCCUUUCCUUUCUUCUUCUUUGUCAUUUUCCUUUUUAUCUUUUAUUUCUUUGGAUUCCGAUCAGAUCCUCCUAAAUAAUUCCCAAUAAUUCCUUUUCGCACAGUUGAUAGAUCUGUUGGGUGGGCAGUGAAAGCUUGGUGAAUGGGGUUUCAGACUAUGGCUUCUCAAGCUAACGGCCAGCAGUCUCAUUUUCAGCCGUCUCCAUUGUUGAGGCAGCCCUCAUGGUAUAGCCUCACUCUUGAUGAAGUUAAAAAUCAAUUAGGAGACACGGGAAAGCCACUGGGCAGCAUGAAUCUUGACGAGCUUCUACAGAACUUAUGGACUGCUGAAGCAAAUCAAUCCAUUGAGAUGGAUAUUGAGAACACCUCCUCAGCAUCUUCACUCCAACGUCAGGCCAGCUUAACAUUGGCUAGAGCUUUGAGUGGGAAGACGGUUGAUGAGGUAUGGAGAGAGAUCCAGCAAGGGCAGAAGAAAAGGUAUGGGGAGGACAUGAAAUGUCAGGAUACUGAGAUAACACUCGGUGAAACAACUCUAGAAGACUUCUUGGUACAAGCAGGUCUUUUUGCAGAAGCUUCUUUGAGUCCUGCUAUUGCAUUGGAUACUAUUGAAGUGGCCAUCCCUCAGAGUUAUCCACAUAACCUGGGGUUAUCGUCAUCCCCAUCAUUUGGUACACAUUCGGAUACAACGACGCCCGGGCGUAAAAGGGAUGCAUCAGAUGAAUAUGAGAAGACUGUUGAGAGAAGAUUAAGGAGAAAAAUCAAGAACAGAGAAUCUGCUGCACGUUCACGUGCUAGAAAGCAGGCAUAUCAUAAUGAGUUGGCGAGCAAAGUUUCGCGUCUAGAAGAGGAGAACAUAAAGCUCAAGAAAGAGAAGGGGCGAGAGGAGUAAGGAGAAUAAAAUGGAACAAAGGAAUUUCCCCACCAAGAGGAGAAGACCUUCUCUUUCCCUUCUUCAUCAAUGGUGCGUGAAGUGCAAAAUGGAGCAGAGUGUGAACUAGUUUUUCCUGCACUGUCUGAUUGUCUUACCCCUUUGGUUAAAGCUAUUUGGGGAGGCCAAUUUGUGUUGGUCACGAUUGAGUGCGGCUUUCUUUUGUCAGAGGCAUAAGUUUUUUGGUGGGAGGAAGAAGGGUAUGGUUCUAAAAGAUGUGCAGUGAUGACUAUUGUUUGGGUACUUUUGGGGGAGAUGAGAGUAAGAUAUUUGACAUGUGAGGGGUGAUGAGGUGGAUUAUCUGUGGGAAAGUGUUUGCUUCCUGCAUCUCUUACGUCUUUGAUCUCUUCAGAGUUUUGGGAUAGUUCUUUGUUUGCAAAUGUUUCAAAUUGUAAUGCGAGUGCUUUUUAGUGUCCUUUUCUUUGUUUGGUUCACUGUUGUUUUUAGGCUGUUUUGGUGCUGUUUUUUUAAGCUCUCCUGAUCUCUGAUCAAGGGACUUGUCCAUUGUUUUGUACUGUUUCUUUAUGUUUAAUGAUAGUUUGUUUCCUAUAUAACAAAAGAUUGUAUUAUGUUAGUUAAUCUCUAUCACUUCGCGCAUACUUGGCAUUAUUAGUUAUGUUUUUUUCCUCUUUGUUUUUCUUUUUGUUUCAAUUUUGUGUGAUUUUUUCAAUCUUGCUACAGAGAUUAACGUCUCUGGUACUCAGACAAGUCACACCUGUUUUAAUGCACGAACUACUUUUGGGUUGCCAGAAGAGAUCCUGUUAACGAGACCCCUCUCUUUUUUUUUUUCCUUCUUUUUUAAAAAGACAAUUACAAAGAAAUGUGAUGUGGAUACCAUGGUGGGACUCCUUGAAUUUUAUUUUGGAGGUGACAUUUUGAGAGAUGGAGGAAAGUAGUUCCGUGGUUGACAAAUUUUGGAGUUGAAGUCAGUGACCCACUUUGACCUUUUUUUGUAUACCUUAGUGGUUGACACUUUAAGUGGUUCAGUGGAUAUUGCAAAGGAGCUUCAGCCAGUAGAGAGACUAUUAAUUGGUAGGAAAGUUUACAAGUUUCUCAUUUGCAAAUUCUCAGUGAUACAGGGUAAUUAUGAAUCUGACAGUUGAGCCUUUUUUAUGCAUUAUUUGGUUUUACAGUAAAUAGGUCUAAAAGUUGAAUUAGCAAGAACCAAAAUUGGAGGCUGCAGGUUGUGUAGUUGACCUAUGAAUAGUUGUUCAGCAGCAGUCCAUGCACUCUUACUUUUUGGGAUCCAAUUGUGGAGAAAGUAGAGAAGAGGUUGGAAGAGUGGAAAACAGCAUAUUUCUAGAGGAUGUGCUUACAAUUAUAAGCAAGUGGCCAAAAGCUUAGAGAAACUAAUGAAAAUUUUUUGUGGAAAGGUUUUGGAGAAAGGAAUAGAAUUCAUUUGGUAAAAGUGGGAAAUUUGGUUUUUUUGCCAUGAGAAGGGUGGUUUUGGGAUGGGUAAUUUGGACAUGAUGUGACUGCUUGGGAAGUGGUUCGGGAGAGUUCCUUUGGAAAGGGUACUUUUGGCAUUACCAGCAUUAAACCAAAUAUGCCUUACAUGUGAAGGGUACCUUUCGGAAGUGGUUGGGUUAUGCCUUACAUGUCAAUGGCUAGGGAUUCUAAUAUAGUGGAAUAAGAAUGGAUAGGAAGAAAAAAGAGAUCCGGACUCAUCCUGGUCUUUGGCAUCACACCAAAGGUUUCCAGUAGAGAAAUUAGAAAAUUCCGGCAUCGCACUGGCCUUUGACAUCACACCGAAGGUGCCUUGGAAUCACUCUCCAAGUCAACCUGUGCCUCACACACAAGCAGAACCUAUCUAGCUAUUUGCUAGUGUUUUCUGCCUCUUCUUAUGGUUCUUAUGGUAUGGUAAGCACAAAAAACUUUAUCAACUUCGACAUUAGUACUUGAAUCUGUCAGAAGGUCGACAUCGUUACCAGCAAUGAAGGGAUUAUUGUGCUCAUGUUCUUUUUGGCUUUCUGGAGAUGGUUUGAUCAUAAAUCAUGCUGUAUUUUUCUAAUGUCAUUUUACCAUUCCGAAAUGCUUUUCCAUUGUUUCACUUUGUAUUUUUUUCUCUGCAGGAAUUUGAGAAGAUGUUGCCAUCUGCAUUAUCAGCGGAACCAAAAUAUCAGCUUCGAAGAAUAAGUUCAGCCUUUUUCUGAGUUGUCUCUGCACCCAGCAUUGUAGUUGUCAAGUGUCGGGACUAAUAUCUUGGCUUCAUGUAGGUUCUCAUCACCAGAUGGCUGGUCGGCCCUGCCACUGAUGUGCAUCUGACCUUUGAACCGCACCAGUAGGAUCCUGUUGUGUAUAUUUAUGAUUAGCUGAUCUCGUAAAAUAUACCGCAGCAAAAUGUCAUGUCUAUAGUUUUUAGUUCUGUUUUGCUGGGAAUACAAUUUCAAGAAAAAAAGAUUGAGUUCAUUGUGUUUGAGGGUGCACAUUGUUAUGAUUCUAUUUUGGGCAAGCAAGGGGUAUAUAUUGGUUUAA